Aciduliprofundum boonei T469 is the source of this 74-nucleotide transfer RNA. It matches the Rfam family "tRNA". From Rfam's summary of the family: Transfer RNA (tRNA) molecules are approximately 80 nucleotides in length. Their secondary structure includes four short double-helical elements and three loops (D, anti-codon, and T loops). Further hydrogen bonds mediate the characteristic L-shaped molecular structure. tRNAs have two regions of fundamental functional importance: the anti-codon, which is responsible for specific mRNA codon recognition, and the 3' end, to which the tRNAs corresponding amino acid is attached (by aminoacyl-tRNA synthetases). tRNAs cope with the degeneracy of the genetic code in two manners: having more than one tRNA (with a specific anti-codon) for a particular amino acid; and 'wobble' base-pairing, i.e. permitting non-standard base-pairing at the 3rd anti-codon position. The record is from Rfam. Lineage: Archaea; Methanobacteriati; Thermoplasmatota.
GGGCCGGUAGAUCAGCCCGGUAGAUCGCCACAUUCGCAAUGUGGAGGCCGCGGGUUCGAGUCCCGCCCGGUCCA